This 497-nucleotide ribosomal RNA is filed under the name uncultured bacterium. RNAcentral's name for it is "partial 16S ribosomal RNA". It matches the Rfam family "Bacterial small subunit ribosomal RNA", at positions 28 to 507 of the family's 1533-position model. The record is from RNAcentral.
GAUGAACGCUGGCGGCGUGCCUAAUACAUGCAAGUCGAGCGAACAGACGCGGAGCUUGCUCCUCUGACGUUAGCGGCGGACGGGUGAGUAACACGUGGAUAACCUACCUAUAAGACUGGGAUAACUUCGGGAAACCGGAGCUAAUACCGGAUAAUAUAUUGAACCGCAUGGUUCAAUAGUGAAAGACGGUUUUGCUGUCACUUAUAGAUGGAUCCGCGCCGCAUUAGCUAGUUGGUAAGGUAACGGCUUACCAAGGCAACGAUGCGUAGCCGACCUGAGAGGGUGAUCGGCCACACUGGAACGGAGACACGGUCCAGACUCCUACGGGAGGCAGCAGUAGGGAAGCGUCCGCAAUGGGCGAAAGCCUGACGGAGCAACGCCGCGUGAGUGAUGAAGGUCUUCGGAUCGUAAAACUCUGUUAUUAGGGAAGAACAAAUGUGUAAGUAACUAUGCACGUCUUGACGGUACCGAAUCAGAAAGCCACGGCUAACUACGUG